Molecule: ribosomal RNA, 465 nt
Filed under: Globorotalia inflata
Lineage: Eukaryota; Foraminifera; Rotaliida; Globorotaliidae
Description: bacterial SSU rRNA
Rfam family: Eukaryotic small subunit ribosomal RNA
Source: RNAcentral
CGCGGGAAAUCUUACCGGGUCCGGACACACUGAGGAUUGACAGGCAAUAUAUUAGCAUAAAGAUUCGUCUUUAGCGCUAAUUGUUAAAUAUGCUAGUCCUUUCAUGAUUAUGUGAUAGGUGGUGCAUGGCCGUUCUUAGUUCGUGGAGUGAUCUGUCUGCUUAAUUGCGUUUCACUAAGGGCCCAUAAAUUCAAGGUAUGUUAGCAAAUGCUGCUCUAUUGACCCCUAAUAGGCUUAACUGUCUUUAGCGCGUGUCUCUACGAGUUCUUUAAAGCACUGCGCAUGCUGUUGGGUCCUGAAAGCAACGAACGUGACCGCAACGUCUUGUUGCCUCUCUAUAAUACCUUCUUAUUUUUAAUAAGAGUAUUUACCUGAGGCUAUUUUAAAACUAGACGGACCGCUGUUUCUUUCUUAAACCAGAGGAAGGUUGCGGCAAUAACAGGUCUGUGAUGCCCUUAGAUGUUC